AUUGAACGCUGGCGGAAUGCUUUACACAUGCAAGUCGAACGGCAGCACGGACUUCGGUCUGGUGGCGAGUGGCGAACGGGUGAGUAAUGUAUCGGAACGUGCCCAGUCGUGGGGGAUAACGUAGGGAAAAUUACGCUAAUACCGCAUACGAUCUAUGGAUGAAAGCGGGCGAUCGCACAGCCUCGCGUGAUUUGAGCGGCCGAUAUCAGGUUAGGUAGUUGGUGGGGUAAAGGCCCACCAAGCCAACGAUCUGUAGCUGGUCUGAGAGGACGGACAGCCACACUGGAACUGAGACACGGUCCAGACUCCUACGGGAGGCAGCAGUGGGGAAUUUUGGACAAUGGGCGAAAGCCUGAUCCAGCCAUUCCGCGUGCAGGAUGAAGGCCCUCGGGUUGUAAACUGCUUUUGUACAGAACGAAAAGGUUUCUACUAAUACUAGGAGCUCAUGACGGUACUGUAAGAAUAAGCACCGGCUAACUACGUGCCAGCCGCCGCCGUAA
RNAcentral lists this ribosomal RNA (500 nucleotides) under uncultured bacterium. RNAcentral's name for it is "partial 16S ribosomal RNA". It matches the Rfam family "Bacterial small subunit ribosomal RNA", at positions 30 to 523 of the family's 1533-position model. The record is from RNAcentral.